AAAGUCGUAACAAGGUUUCCGUAGGUGAACCUGCGGAAGGAUCAUUAACAAGUCAAAGUGUUUUUCAAUUGGCCCCUCCAGGCCAUUGAAGCACUUUUUUCUUUGUGAACUGGCUCGAUUUCCUCCCCUCUAAAUUGGGGGAGGGGGAAUGACGGCGUCCUUUUUUUACUCUUUUUAUUUUUUAUUGUUUUAUACAAUGUAUAAAGACAACUUUCAGCAAUGGAUCUCUUGGCUCUU
Molecule: unclassified non-coding RNA, 237 nt
Filed under: Basidiomycota sp.
Lineage: Eukaryota; Fungi; Basidiomycota
Description: partial contains small subunit ribosomal RNA, internal transcribed spacer 1, and 5.8S ribosomal RNA
Rfam family: Eukaryotic small subunit ribosomal RNA (bases 1-47)
Source: RNAcentral